UGAACGCUGGCGGCGUGCCUAAUACAUGCACGUCGAGCGAACGGACGAGAAGCUUGCUUCUCUGAUGUUAGCGGCGGACGGGUGAGUAACACGUGGAUAACCUACCUAUAAGACUGGGAUAACUUCGGGAAACCGGAGCUAAUACCGGAUGAUAUUUUGAACCGCAUGGUUCAAAAGUGAAAGACGGUCUUGCUGUCACUUAUAGAUGGAUCCGCGCUGCAUUAGCUAGUUGGUAAGGUAACGGCUUACCAAGGCAACGAUGCAUAGCCGACCUGAGAGGGUGAUCGGCCACACUGGAACUGAGACACGGUCCAGACUCCUACGGGAGGCAGCAGUAGGGAAUCUUCCGCAAAGGGCGAAAGCCUGACGGAGCAACGCCGCGUGAGUGAUGAAGGUCUUCGGAUCGUAAAACUCUGUUAUUAGGGAAGAACAUAUGUGUAAGUAACUGUGCACAUCUUGACGGUACCUAAUCAGAAAGCCACGGCUAACUACGUG
This 495-nucleotide ribosomal RNA is filed under the name uncultured bacterium. RNAcentral describes it as "partial 16S ribosomal RNA". It matches the Rfam family "Bacterial small subunit ribosomal RNA", at positions 30 to 507 of the family's 1533-position model. The record is from RNAcentral.